GCUCAGGAUGAACGCUAGCUACAGGCUUAACACAUGCAAGUCGAGGGGUAGCAGGGUAGCAAUACCGCUGACGACCGGCGCACGGGUGAGUAACACGUAUCCAACCUUCCCAUAACUCGGGGAUAGCCUUUCGAAAGAAAGAUUAAUACCCGAUAGUACUUUAUUAAGGCAUCUUAAGAAAGUUAAAGAUUUAUUGGUUAUGGAUGGGGAUGCGUUCCAUUAGAUAGUUGGUGAGGUAACGGCUCACCAAGUCUUCGAUGGAUAGGGGUUCUGAGAGGAAGGUCCCCCACAUUGGUACUGAGACACGGACCAAACUCCUACGGGAGGCAGCAGUGAGGAAUAUUGGUCAAUGGGCGAGAGCCUGAACCAGCCA
RNAcentral lists this ribosomal RNA (373 nucleotides) under uncultured Bacteroidales bacterium. RNAcentral describes it as "bacterial SSU rRNA". It matches the Rfam family "Bacterial small subunit ribosomal RNA", at positions 22 to 394 of the family's 1533-position model. Lineage: Bacteria; Pseudomonadati; Bacteroidota; Bacteroidia; Bacteroidales. The record is from RNAcentral.